UUAAAGCACCAUAUAUCUUUUUCAGUCAGAUACACCUCAGAAAAGAUCACUAACUUCUAUGGAUCUUGCGAAUCAGUUGUGGACAGGCCAAGGGGUAGUAACAGGUUCACAGUUCCAUGCCAGGUCAUUCCAGAAAAAUACUUCUCUCUCUAGGAGAAGAUUUCAAGUUGCUUAAUGACAUAUAGGAGAAAGAAGAGAAGAAAAUAUUAUUGCCACACAGUCAAAAUCCUCAAUAAUGCAACAAUCCCUAGGAAUACUGAAAUUUUGCCUCUGAGUGUUCAGUAUGUGUGCGUAUUGCCUGAAUGUAGAGUGCCAUUUGGUUUCUAAAAGUAUAAAUUUCUACUAAACUGAAUAAGAAAGAGGCCUUUAUGUUCCUAUUUUUUUAUGUGGACCCAAUUCACAAUUAGAGCUAAGCCGAAUUAUAUAUCAGUCUUCAUUUUAUGAUUUUCAGAAGACCUUUGAAAAUAGUAAUUGGUCAUGGUUUUUGCAUUCUUCUACAUUUUAAAUGUCAUCAACUAUACUUUCCUGAAAGAGUUGAACAUUUCUGUAUUCAUAUGCAGUGUGUUUCUAAAAGUCUUCUGAUAUAAAACAGCACCCUUGUUUAAAAAUAAAGAAUAAAAUAAAACAUGAGCGUCACCACAAAAUAUGGCCCUAAUGCAAACAAUUCUUACCUAAAAUUUAGUUUGUUUCCUGCAGAAAAAGGUCUUUGCAGUUGCAUAGCUUCCUUAUUCCAAAAGCCCCUGAAACAUGCUUGUGGGCCCUUCUAAAUAUUUUUUUAGACUCACAAAUUAGUGAAAAUAUAACUAAAUUUUGAAAGGCAUUUCAAUGUUUGGACUACGCAAUGUUCUCUAUAUGGGCUAUGCUUGAAGAGCAUUCAGAGCAUUGUGCAGAAUGCGGCAGUACAGGGAGUUCUUGUGGGUGGCUCAUGUUUCACCACUGUUCCAUGAACUACACUGGUUGCUGGUUUGUUUUCAGAUGCAAUUCAAGGUGUGGGUUAUUACUUUUAAAUGCCUGCAUAGCAUGAGUCCAGGUUAUUUGAAGAACUCUCUCACCCCAUUGGGAUUGCCCAUCCCACCCAUGCUGGCAGAGCAUGCAUGCUGCGGAGCCCCUCAGUCAAGGAAUUUUGGCUGAUGGGGUCAACGAGAAGGGUCGUCUCUGCCGUGCCUCCUAUCCCUGAGGUUUGAUUGGUUCUCACCCUUUUGAUCUUCCGCAAGAGCCUAAAGAUCUGGUUCUGGCAGAUAGCUUGGGAUCCCAAUGAGGCAACAUCACAAUGGAAGUAGUUGAUGAAUUAAGAGGCAAUCCCACUUCUGUUCAUCCUGUUCUCCACUUCCUAUCUUUUAACUAUACUUUUAUAUCUUUCCAUUCCAUUUUUAUUGUUUUAGAAAUAUUCAGUGCUUUUAAUACUGUAAGUCCAGAGAUGGGUUGCUACUGAUUCGGUCCAGUUCGGCUGAACUAGUAGUGGAAUUCAGGCCUGUGGCACAGAACGGGCACCAACCCAGGCCUGCCACGUCCCCGAACCAGCGCACACAUGCAUGUUGCACGCGGGUUGCGAACUGGCAGUAACGCCGGCAGUAACCCACCCCUGUGUAAGCCGCCCAGAAUUCCUGUGGAACAAGAUGGGCAACAAAUUUAAUAAACAAAUAAAUAAAUAAAUAAAUAAAUAUGCACUUAAAAGGUUAUGCAUACUGUAUACACAUGCUGAAAGCAUACAUCAACCAGAAUAAAAACUGAACUCAAUAUGUUAAUAUAAUUCCAUGGUUUAUAUCCUUAGAUGAGCAGAUUGAUACCUUUGUAAUAUCUAUUAUGUGAUUUUUCAAUAAUAAUAAUUACGGUUAUGAGGAUUGAUGUUGUGAGUUUUGGAUUUGAAAGGAAAUUUGAAAAUGCUUCAGCCCUUUUACACCCACGUAGCACCAGCCAGCCACUUGUUAACGUUCUGAAUUGUGUAGCUCCCUUUGGCAACUGCAGUGUAAUCCAAAGAUUUGAUUUGGGGAGUUUCAUAAGGUGUUAUGUGCAGAGCCCUGAUAAUCAUAAGUUGGGAAUGCUCAAUUUGUCCCAGAUUCUUUCCAGAUGCCUAGGUGGAGCACAUGCUAACCCCAACCACCACACUAAUCAUUGUACCAGCCAUCUUGUCUUGCAAAUUAAUUAGUAUGUUAACUCUGUUAAUCAGUUAAGUAUUAAAAGACAGUGCAGAAGGAAUCAAUAUUCUUUCCUGAACAGUGUUUUUAGUUAAGAAAGAUUUUUUUGUACUAUUUGUAAGCAGAAAUCUUUAAGUAUGUAGAAAUUAGAAUUUAAAUUUUCCUGCCUCUUGUUUCUGCUGUAUAGUCCCCUUGCUAUAAUUUUUGGCCUAUCUAUUUGUUAUAUAAAAUAUCUUCAAGCAACAUACUAUUGUAGGUAGUUUUCCUUUGCCUUUUUAAAAAUAUAAUCCCUAAUCAUCUUAUUGUUGUUUAUUCAGCUUGUGACUAUUGAAGGAUAAUUUAGAGAGCAAUUUCAUUUAUUGACAAUUAUUAAUAAGUCAAGAGCUAUAAAAUAAUGCAGAUGAGUUUAUUCAUGCAGAAUAACUUAGGCACAUCAUCAUGAACUGAACCUGUUACUGAAUUGUCAGGUUUUUGCUUUCUAAAAUUGUUAAUGUCAAAUGUAAAUCAGAUAUUUUUGUCUACUCAUUCAGCAGCCCAAUUUAUAAUAUCCUUCAAAAUCAAACGAAUCUGUAAAAAUGUAUAUAGAAUGUUAAAGUUUAGAAAUUGCUUUCUAAACUUUAAAUUUGUAUUUUUAUGAGAACUUAUCCAAUUUACCCUUUCCAAAUAUAUAUGUAUAAUUUAUAUGUUGAAAUAGAUUUUUAAAAAUGUUAAAUGCUAUAAUAUGAUGAAUGCAUAGAACUAUUAAUAAAAAAGCACUUCCAAAACUGAA
This is a non-coding RNA of Thamnophis sirtalis, 2904 nucleotides long. The record is from RefSeq and is a predicted model, not a curated record. NCBI's taxonomy places the organism in Eukaryota, Metazoa, Chordata, Lepidosauria, Squamata, Natricidae.